RNAcentral lists this ribosomal RNA (394 nucleotides) under uncultured bacterium. RNAcentral's name for it is "bacterial SSU rRNA". It matches the Rfam family "Bacterial small subunit ribosomal RNA", at positions 975 to 1368 of the family's 1533-position model. The record is from RNAcentral.
CUGGCCUUGACAUAGUAAGAACUUUCCAGAGAUGGAUUGGUGCCUUCGGGAACUUACAUACAGGUGCUGCAUGCCUGUCGUCAGCUCGUGUUGUGAGAUGUUGGGUUAAGUCCCGCAACGAGCGCAACCCUUUUCCUUAUUUGCCAGCGAGUAAUGUCGGGAACUUUACGGAUACUGCCAGUGACAAACUGGAGGAAGGCGGGGACGACGUCAAGUCAUCAUGGCCCUUACGGCCAGGGCUACACACGUGCUACAAUGGUCGGUACAAAGGGUUGCUACCUAGCGAUAGGAUGCUAAUCUCAAAAAGCCGAUCGUAGUCCGGAUUGGAGUCUGCAACUCGACUCCAUGAAGUCGGAAUCGCUAGUAAUCGCGGAUCAGAAUGCCGCGGUGAAUA